GUUCCUAUGGUGUCACUUAAAAGCACACUAGAUUUUCAUUCUAGAGGCAUAAAUUUAUUUAUUGGGAAUA
RNAcentral lists this transfer RNA (70 nucleotides) under Mauritia arabica. RNAcentral's name for it is "tRNA-Glu". The record is from RNAcentral. Lineage: Eukaryota; Metazoa; Mollusca; Gastropoda; Littorinimorpha; Cypraeidae.